This 465-nucleotide ribosomal RNA is filed under the name uncultured bacterium. RNAcentral's name for it is "partial 16S ribosomal RNA". It matches the Rfam family "Bacterial small subunit ribosomal RNA", at positions 28 to 507 of the family's 1533-position model. The record is from RNAcentral.
GACGAACGCUGGCGGCGUGCUUAACACAUGCAAGUCGAACGGAAAGGCCCCUUCGGGGGUACUCGAGUGGCGAACGGGUGAGUAACACGUGAGUAACCUGCCCUUGACUUCGGGAUAACUUCAGGAAACUGGGGCUAAUACGCGAUAGGAAUCCUUGCUGCAUGGUGGGGGUUGGAAAGCUUCGGCGGUUUUGGAUGGACUCGCGGCUUAUCAGCUUGUUGGUGGGGUAGUGGCUUACCAAGGCUUUGACGGGUAGCCGGCCUGAGAGGGCGACCGGCCACAUUGGGACUGGGAUACGGCCCAGACUCCUACGGGAGGCAGAAGUGGGGAAUAUUGCACAAUGGGCGGAAGCCUGAUGCAGCAACGCCGCGUGCGGGAUGACGGACUUCGGGUUGUAAACCGCUUUCAGCAGGGGCGAAGCUUGUGGUGACGGUACCUGCAGAAGAAGCACCGGCUAACUACGUG